GAAACCCAUGCUAAUACCNCAUAANCNCUUCGGGGGAAAGGCUUCGGCCGCUAUUAGAUGAGCCUAUGUCUGAUUAGCUUGUUGGUAGGGUAACGGCCUACCAAGGCGACGAUCAGUAGCUGGUCUGAGAGGACGAUCAGCCACACUGGGACUGAGACACGGCCCAGACUCCUACGGGAGGCAGCAGUGGGGAAUAUUGGACAAUGGGCGAAAGCCUGAUCCAGCAAUGCCGCGUGUGUGAAGAAGGCCUGCGGGUUGUAAAGCACUUUCAGAUGGGAAGAUAAUGACGGUACCAUCAGAAGAAGCACCGGCUAACUCUGUGCCAGCAGCCGCGGUAAUACAGAGGGUGCAAGCGUUAAUCGGAAUUACUGGGCGUAAAGCGCGCGUAGGCGGUUUGUUGAGUCGGAUGUGAAAGCCCCGGGCUCAACCUGGGAACUGCAUUCGAUACUGGCAGGCUAGAGUAUGGUAGAGGGAAGUGGAAUUCCGGGUGUAGCGGUGAAAUGCGUAGAUAUCCGGAGGAACAUCAGUGGCGAAGGCGGCUUCCUGGACCAAUACUGACGCUGAGGUGCGAAAGCGUGGGGAGCAAACAGG
RNAcentral lists this ribosomal RNA (591 nucleotides) under uncultured bacterium. RNAcentral's name for it is "bacterial SSU rRNA". It matches the Rfam family "Bacterial small subunit ribosomal RNA", at positions 153 to 776 of the family's 1533-position model. The record is from RNAcentral.